RNAcentral lists this ribosomal RNA (465 nucleotides) under Vreelandella stevensii. RNAcentral describes it as "partial 16S ribosomal RNA". It matches the Rfam family "Bacterial small subunit ribosomal RNA", at positions 338 to 795 of the family's 1533-position model. Lineage: Bacteria; Pseudomonadati; Pseudomonadota; Gammaproteobacteria; Oceanospirillales; Halomonadaceae. The record is from RNAcentral.
CCUACGGGUGGCAGCAGUGGGGAAUAUUGGACAAUGGGCGAAAGCCUGAUCCAGCCAUGCCGCGUGUGUGAAGAAGGCCUUCGGGUUGUAAAGCACUUUCAGUGGGGAAGAAAGCCUUGGGGCUAAUACCCUCGAGGAAGGACAUCACCCACAGAAGAAGCACCGGCUAACUCCGUGCCAGCAGCCGCGGUAAUACGGAGGGUGCGAGCGUUAAUCGGAAUUACUGGGCGUAAAGCGCGCGUAGGCGGUCUGAUAAGCCGGUUGUGAAAGCCCCGGGCUCAACCUGGGAACGGCAUCCGGAACUGUCAGGCUAGAGUGCAGGAGAGGAAGGUAGAAUUCCCGGUGUAGCGGUGAAAUGCGUAGAGAUCGGGAGGAAUACCAGUGGCGAAGGCGGCCUUCUGGACUGACACUGACGCUGAGGUACGAAAGCGUGGGUAGCAAACAGGAUUAGAUACCCCUGUAGUC